RNAcentral lists this ribosomal RNA (249 nucleotides) under uncultured bacterium. RNAcentral describes it as "partial 16S ribosomal RNA". It matches the Rfam family "Bacterial small subunit ribosomal RNA", at positions 106 to 353 of the family's 1533-position model. The record is from RNAcentral.
GUGAGUAACGCGUGGGUAACCUGCCUUAUACAGGGGGAUAACAGUCAGAAAUGGCUGCUAAUACCGCAUAAGCGCACAGAGCUGCAUGGCUCAGUGUGAAAAACUCCGGUGGUAUAAGAUGGACCCGCGUUGGAUUAGCUUGUUGGCGGGGUAACGGCCCACCAAGGCGACGAUCCAUAGCCGGCCUGAGAGGGUGAACGGCCACAUUGGGACUGAGACACGGCCCAGACUCCUACGGGAGGCAGCAUG